RNAcentral lists this ribosomal RNA (253 nucleotides) under uncultured bacterium. RNAcentral's name for it is "partial 16S ribosomal RNA". It matches the Rfam family "Bacterial small subunit ribosomal RNA", at positions 524 to 776 of the family's 1533-position model. The record is from RNAcentral.
UACGUAGGGUGCGAGCGUUAAUCGGAAUUACUGGGCGUAAAGCGUGCGCAGGCGGUUUUGUAAGCCAGAUGUGAAAGCCCCGGGCUCAACCUGGGAAUGGCAUUUGGGACUGCAAGGCUUGAGUGCGGCAGAGGAGACUAGAAUUCCUGGUGUAGCAGUGAAAUGCGUAGAUAUCAGGAGGAAUACCGAUGGCGAAGGCAGGUCUCUGGGCUGACACUGACGCUCAUGCACAAAAGCGUGGGGAGCAAACAGG